RNAcentral lists this ribosomal RNA (254 nucleotides) under uncultured bacterium. RNAcentral's name for it is "partial 16S ribosomal RNA". It matches the Rfam family "Bacterial small subunit ribosomal RNA", at positions 524 to 776 of the family's 1533-position model. The record is from RNAcentral.
UACGUAGGCAGCAAGCGUUGUUCGGAGUUACUGGGCGUAAAGGGUGUGUAGGCGGUUGUUUAAGUUUGGUGUGAAAUCUCCCGGCUCAACUGGGUGGGUGCGCCGAAUACUGAAUGACUUGGAGCGCGGGAGAGGAAAGUGGAAUUCCUGGUGUAGCGGUGAAAUGCGUAGAUAUCAGGAGGAACACCGGUGGUGUAGACGGCUUUCUGGACCGUAACUGACGCUGAGGAGCGAAAGCCAGGGGAGCAAACAGG